This is a long non-coding RNA of Monomorium pharaonis (pharaoh ant), 6663 nucleotides long. RefSeq lists it as uncharacterized. The record is from RefSeq and is a predicted model, not a curated record. NCBI's taxonomy places the organism in Eukaryota, Metazoa, Arthropoda, Insecta, Hymenoptera, Formicidae. The transcript has 2 exons.
GUUGGCGGACCAGAUUUAUCUCAGCGUACGUUCACACACACGCAUGCACGCACGCAUGCAUUCCGGUUACGUAAAAAGUAUGAGAGUAAGACAGUAAUUUGAUUUUACAAUGAAAUCUCUGCGCGUCUGGGCAGUUGGGCACGCAACAACAGAGUCAUUUAAUACGUUUGAACCGAUACGCAUGGCAUGCCAAAUACUCCCACGUGUGUUAGCCGAGAUUUAAAAAGAUCGAACUUGAGGAUAAAAGUGAGAGGCGCGUGCGAAAAUUUUAUAAUCGUUUUGCCUGACUUUUUACACAUAAACAACAUCCUCAACAAGUGCCGCUGUAAAUGAAACUCGAGAAACAAAAUUUUAUACGCCAUGCACUUUUGAUAUCUAUUGUAUGUAUGAGUUCUGAUUUUAUAUUUCGAUUCUUCUUUUUCGUAUUUCGAAAAAUAUAUUGAAGUAUAAAAGCGUGGAAUUUUGUUUAAGUUUAAAACCCAAAAAUUUCUAUUAAUAACAUUUUCAAUUAAUAUUUGUUUUCUUUUAUACAAAAAAGACAGUAUAACUUAUAAUGACGAAAUGUUUACAAUUCAACUAUAUUAGUAAGAAAAUAUUCUGUGUAUCUUUGUAUAGAGAAAAUCAUUUUAUAUUUCACUGCCUCGUCAAAGUAACACAUGAAAAAAUAAUCAAACGGAUGCAUUUAUAAAGUCGUUAAAAAAGUCAGGAGGGAGCGUUGAUCUUCACGCGCGACGAGUUUUUCAAGUCGGACGCAAUUAUUUGCUCGGCGAAGUGCCACAGGAAGUGCCGGGCUGACACGCCGACAAGUGACACAGCCACGAUUUCAUUCUAUAGUAAAUAAAAUUACGACGGAUAAAAAGGGUAUAUGAAAAACCGAGAGCAAAACGGAGGAGCGCUGAAGAUUCCGGCCGGAAAUGGAAAACCCAACAAGUUAAUUCUAGACAUUCUCUAACGAGAGUGGCGAAAUAACAUCCUUCGAUUCUGACUGGUUCGCUGGCGUUUCAGCAGAACAAACUGCCUUAGCUGGAAUUAUAAUUCCGUGCAAGAGGGAUUGAAGAAAAAAAAAAGUCAACACGUGCAGUUGACGCAGGACGUAAAAAUAUUCGUAAUUAACGGACGUAAUUUUAUAUUCUAGUUUGGAAUUAAAGUGACAUAUAUAUUUCUCCGUAUGUCACACGAGCGACAUUUGAUCCAGGGAUACGAAAGGAGAAUUAAGAAUACGUUGUUUGUUCUUUAUUGUCUCCCUCUCGGAAAUUCCGCUUUCGCAGCGUUGCUUUAGUUGAAACGUCAACGCCGAGUAACUUACAAUUAGUACUCAGACGUCACUUUGUGAUUCCCAUUAUAGGUUCUUCAUUUUAUUCGGCGUGAUAAAUCGCGCCGAAAGAAGGAUCAUCCUGACUUUUGACGGGAAAGACACAUGACGGGUGACGGAUUGUGCACCUGGACGUGAACUAAUUGGCACCAAUAGCGCUAAGGUUCGUAGGCCUUUGCCCAAAACCGUCGGACCUGCCGGAGGCCGAGACUGAAAUAAUUUCUCGCCGCGGCAUCUGCAGUGUCAUUUAUUAUGUGGCCAACCGGGCAAUUAAACUUAACUCGGUCGUGCUGGCGCGACGUCGUCCCUGCUCUCUCUCUCUCUCUCUUUCUCUCUCUAUCUUUCUCGUUCUCGUUCUUCUCAGUCCUUCCUCGCAGUUCCUCGCAUCCUGGCGAAGAACUUCUUCGUGGAAUUUACUAAGCUAAUUGUCUGGCGCCGUCCGAUAUUCUCCUGACUGUAUGCACAACUCGUGGACCAUUUGACAAUUAGCUGUUUGCCUUGCAAUUCGUCGCGAGAGCUCUCGUUCUCUCCUCGUCAUUCUCGCUGCACUUUUUUUUUACCUUUUUAAUUAUCAAUCGUCAACCGAGCGCAAAUCAUUUGUUAAAUUUAUUACGCGCAAAUGACGAAUGCGAGAAAUCAGGGAAAGUAAAAGACGUUUCGAGAAAUAUUCAUUUAGGACCUUGAAAAAUGAUUCCGUGUGAUCAGCUUUAGCCUUUCUUGAAAUUUUACCUGCGAAGAUCCUUUUAUUCGCCGAACAAAGACGUAAUCCAAGAUGAGAUCCAAGAUGACUCAGGUGCAGGUAAACGGAGAGUUUGAGAGAUUACAACAUCUUAAAAUGUUUCCAAUUAACUAAGUAAUAAAAUAUCACUCAACUUCUCUCUCUCUCUCUCUCUCUUUAUGUCUCUUUCUGUCUUUCUUUCUCUUUAAAGAAAAGCAUAUUCAGUUUCAUACAAUGAAAUGAAAACUGCAUUAGUCGACUUCUACAAAAUGAAUCCAUUAAAUUUAGUCCUUCGUUAUUUGGACCUUAGCGCGAUUAUUACGAGCUUCGUCGGAAAUAUUAAACUGUGCUUUCUGACAAAAUCUUUAAAUAGAGGGAUUUUAAACGAUCGUUAUCGGACAAAGUUAUUUCCAUUACUUUCGUUUAAAUUAACAUCUACUUUCGAAUCCUUCUCUUACGUUUAUGUAAUGUUACUUUAGCUCAAAGAUGUAAGAGCAUUAUAUGAGAAAAGACAGGAGGAGGCGGACAGUAAUAUAUAAGACUCAUAUACAGAAGUUUCCUUGAGUCGAGGUAGUUACAGACUACGCUAAGAGACUUAGCCGUGCGAUAUUGGAACACACCGUAUACGAUGAAUCUUAUAAGCAGCUUAUAUGCAGUUUGUAUCACAGUUUAACGUGUAAGUUUCCGUGCUUGUCCAGCCUAUCAAGAUCCUAACAACACAAACAAUCUCUGCAAAAGUACGGUCUGUUCAGGUAAACCGCACGUUCAUGAGUAUGACCGUUGCAUGACUAAUAAAGACUAAAAUUUUGACGUUCUAUUAUAAAGUAUUUCGAUUUUUCCUACAAUAGCAAUUGUAUACAGCAGAUCACAUUGCAUUUCACAUAAAAAAAAAAAUUGGUUUCUGAUAAAUGGUUAUAAAUUAAUAAAAAUUGUUCUAUAUAAUUACGUUACAGAAAUUAUUAUUGUAUUAUCUUAUCAUUCUUUAUAAUUAUAUGUUUUCAUAACACCACAGAUUGCAAAUUUUACUACUAUAUUAUAUGAUAUUUAAAAAUUAUUUACACACUGAGAAAAAAGUAAUUGAUUCAAUACAUUUUUUUUUGUUGUGGGCUGCCAAUAAAAGGUAUAUUUAAUGCAACAAUAUAUGGUAUUGCAAUAUAAAUACAUAGUUCAAUCAACAUCAUUGCACUUGCAUUAAUAGCAAAUAUUGUUAUAUUAAGUAUAUCUUUUGUUGGCAGCCCGCAACUAAACGUUUUGUUGAAUCAAUUAUUUUUUCUCAGUGCAGUAAUAAUAAAGAAGACUAUACUGUGCACUUAAAAAACUGCUUUCUAAUAAUUAAUCAACCAUUAACAAUUAAUACAAAUUUUUACAUUAUAGAAAUUACUGAAUGGUUUCAUUGUUUUUUAUAUUUUUAUUUUCAUAACAGCAUUGGUUGUAUUUGAUUUACUGUAUUUAACGUUGUUGAAGAUGAAGAUAUCAUUGCGCGAAAUGGGUGGGAUCAGGCUGGAGGUUGACUUCCACUUAAUGAAGGGGUACGCGACAAGAUAACUUAUUUAUCUUCAUGCAAGCGUGCGUUCUCUCAGUCUGAGUGCGCGACGUUCUACCGAAUUCAUAAAUAUUCAGAUUUUCCGUGGUGGUUUCUAGUAUUUAUUGCAUCGUCGUCGAGACGCGGGACAGCGUGGCGGACAAAGCGUAGUCUGGUCCGAGGUGACUAAGCGGCAAUAUUGUGGCGCCUCGCCGUUGGCAAUACGCCAUGUGCAUCUAUUAUAAGUCGUAGCCGGGUUUGUAGCCGCAAACUGACGUACCCUAGACCUUCACCUCGAGUUUCCCCUGCGAUCUUAACGCACGCUGGUUGAUUAUCGACGCCUACAGCAAGCAGGUUGCAAUUGUCGCAAUUAGAAUCUUCUAAUUACGGUUACAUAAUUACGCAUUUGUUAAUCAUUAAUAAUUUGUGACGCUCGUUUUUUACUUAUGAUGUCUUUCCAUUAUAGAUUUGUUCGAAAUAAAUAAUAUUUUUAAUUAUUUUUUAACAUCUGUUAAUUUUUUUUAUUUACAUAAAAUGUAUUUUUUUUAUAAAGUAACAAUUUAAAUUUUUAUAAAGAAUAACAACUGCGAAGUUAUUUGUAUAUUUAGAUAAAUGGAUUAGCAAAUAGAAAUUCAAAGUUGAAUUUAAAAUACUUUGUGAGUAAUAAAAUAUGUUACUCAAGGAAGUAUUUAUUUUAUCAAGCGAAAAAAAUUUCCAAUGCCUUCAUUGCUGAAUCGAUGAAGUUAUUGAUCGAUUCGUAGAACAGGGACUUGAGUGCACAUUAAAAGCGCGUGACCGUCGUGUGAACACGCGUGCGACGAAUCUUAAUGUUACAAUGGACAAGCAUUACUUUCAUAAAGAGACCUUGCGGCGCAGAGAGGAUGGAAUUAGUAAGCGACUAAUAAAUGUCAGAAAAAUCUGUCCUUUAAACGUCACAGGUAAUCUAUGCAAUUUAAAAAUACAUUCACUGAGCAAAAAAUAUUGUUGAUUUGACAAAAUUUUCCGACUGAAUUAAAAUUUUGUCAGUUCAGGUAUUUAUGCAUUGAACUUAAAUGCAAAAAUUUUAAUUCAAAUAUUUAUAUAGUUAAUUGAAAUACUUAAACAGACAAAAUUUAAUUCAGUUGGAAAAUUUAGUCAAAUUAACAAAAUUUUUUUCUCAGUGUGUUAAUACAUUCUAAAAUACCGAAAGAAAGGAGAAAAAUAACAUCGACAUAAUUCAUUUAUUUCAUGUAAUAUAAAAUACGGUAUAAACUUUUUAGUAUAAACUUUGUCUCUAUACAGAUAUGCUUCUUUUUACUUAAAGUGAUAUUUAGUUUUGACGGAAGCAAGGUUACGUUAAAAUGUGUUUUGGAUUAUUUGUCGCGUGCAGUUUAAUUAAAAAGGAUUAAACAUUUUGAGAUUAAACCUUGCAAAAUGAGAAGUCGCGAGGUAAUUGCACGUAUCUUGGGGGUAGUAUAUCGUGAUUAAACGAAUGAUGGAGAGAGGACUUCGCGUAAGAGAUCGUUCUAAUGUAAAGACUACAUAUACAAAGUAAAGAAACGGCAUCUUGCAUGUGACGACGGAAAUUAGAUACCACGUUGCGGAGGAACGCUAUUAUAUGGGUAAACUCAAGAAGGCCGAUCCCUCUCGAAUAUCCAUCGAGGCAAGAUUUUGUUCUACGGGGGGCGAUAAUGUUUCCGUACUGAAAGGUUUCCGCGCAAUAUUGAUCCGCCAUGAUUGGCGCUUAUUGUACGUAAAAGUUUGAGAGCAAGCGCGAGCGCGGGAGAUAAUUUUCUAUAUAAAAUAGUCCUCUCAUCUCACAAUGCAUAAGGUUGUUAUGAAAUUUAUAAAUAGCAGCACCGUUGCUGUUUCCGACGAUAAAAUCAUGAAGGUGAAUCCGUUGGAUUUAAGCGGCGACGCUGCAGAAUGCGUGAAUCUUCAUAUCCCACGGUAAUAGUAUUUCUCUCGGUGGAGAAAAAGAUUUGCAGUAGAAUAUAUUUCACGGGAAUGUAUUUUGAUGCGACAGUAUUUCGCGCGAGGAUGAGCAAGGAUAUUUCGUUCGGCAACAAAAAUGUUCGUUGAAAACCGAGAUGAAUCUCCGAGGUGCGAAAUACUUUUAUUGAUAAGCAUGACGAAGACAAUUCCAGCAUUGAAAUUCAAUUAUGCAAAAUAUCCCGAUUAUACCCGCUUUUAAUACAUUUUAUAUAAGAAGAAUUAUAUAAAUGUGAAAUAAAAAAAUAUAUAAGAAAUAUGAUAUACAUAAGGAAAAGAACAGGUUUGAUAAGUAUCUAAAAAUUUGGCUAAAUACAGAUUUAAAAAUAAUUUUCUUACUUUAUCAUAAAAGAUGUUCAAACGUUACUAGAAUAUCAAAACUUUUUGCACAGCAUUGCUCAUUACGCUUGGACGUAAUCCAAUAUACCAACACAUAAUUAUUAUAAUAUAUAAUUAUAAAAUAAUACAUUCUUCAAAGAUAUUUUAUGUUUCUUAAUUCACUUGAUUACUUCAUCACUUGAUUACUUCAAUCAUUGAUAAUAUUAUUAAUUUUUAAGAAUCAAGUGAUUAUUACAAUAAUUGAUUAUUAAUACAUAUUUGCGUAUGAAUAACAAAUUUUCUUUUCAUUUGUAUUGUUUCAAUUAUUUUUCAGUUAAUUCUCGCAUGACAUCUGCGGCUUUACGAGAUGACAACCUCCAGCUUCAUCUAACUCUCCUGUUCCAAGUCGGUCAUCAACUUCUUAUCUGGAAUCAGUCGUCUAAGUCUUGGUUGCAGUGCAGUACAGUGCUUACAACCGGCACGGGGACGAAGCUCACGUUGCAUGGGAAUUGGAUUAGCAGUCGGAGAAACGAAAUUCUUACCGUCUUCUUUACCGUAUGUCAAAAGAAGUUGGAUACAUAUGGCCACUCAUAAAUGGAACGUUUAAGCUGAAUCAAUACAACAAUACAAAAGUUAAGCACCUAUAUUUUUAUACGCUCCAUUCUUUAUUCUCUUUCUAUACUUAUGUAUGUUUCACGAAUCAUUUUACGUAGGUUGUAAUACAUUGCUGCGCUACUUACAACAUUGGCAAAUUGAUUCAACUUAAUACUGAUGGUUUCGUUAACAUUACUAAUAAAAAAUUAAAAUCAUAUCAUGAUAUAG